UACGGGGGGGGCAAGCGUUGUUCGGAAUUACUGGGCGUAAAGGGCUCGUAGGUGGCCAACUAAGUCAGACGUGAAAUCCCUCGGCUUAACCGGGGAACUGCGUCUGAUACUGGAUGGCUUGAGUUCGGGAGAGGGAUGCGGAAUUCCAGGUGUAGCGGUGAAAUGCGUAGAUAUCAGGAGGAACACCGGUGGCGAAGGCGGGUCUCUGGGCCGAAACUGACGCUGAGGAGCGAAAGCGUGGGGAGCGAACAGG
This 253-nucleotide ribosomal RNA is filed under the name uncultured bacterium. RNAcentral describes it as "partial 16S ribosomal RNA". It matches the Rfam family "Bacterial small subunit ribosomal RNA", at positions 524 to 776 of the family's 1533-position model. The record is from RNAcentral.